GUGGAUUAGAUACCCUGGUAGUCCACGCCCUAAACGAUGUCAACUGGUUGUUGGGAAUUUAUUUUCUCAGUAACGAAGCUAACGCGUGAAGUUGACCGCCUGGGGAGUACGGCCGCAAGGUUAAAACUCAAAGGAAUUGACGGGGACCCGCACAAGCGGUGGAUGAUGUUCUUUAAUUCGAUGCAACGCGAAAAACCUUACCCACCUUUGACAUGUACGGAAUCCUUUAGAGAUAGAGGAGUGCUCGAAAGAGAGCCGUAACACAGGUGCUGCACGGUCGUCGCCAACU
RNAcentral lists this ribosomal RNA (289 nucleotides) under uncultured bacterium. RNAcentral describes it as "partial 16S ribosomal RNA". It matches the Rfam family "Bacterial small subunit ribosomal RNA", at positions 773 to 1060 of the family's 1533-position model. The record is from RNAcentral.